RNAcentral lists this ribosomal RNA (514 nucleotides) under uncultured bacterium. RNAcentral's name for it is "partial 16S ribosomal RNA". It matches the Rfam family "Bacterial small subunit ribosomal RNA", at positions 28 to 523 of the family's 1533-position model. The record is from RNAcentral.
GACGAACGCUGGCGGCGUGCCUAAUACAUGCAAGUCGAGCGAACAGAGAAGGAGCUUGCUCCUUCGACGUUAGCGGCGGACGGGUGAGUAACACGUGGGCAACCUACCUUAUAGUUUGGGAUAACUCCGGGAAACCGGGGCUAAUACCGAAUAAUCUGUUUCACCUCAUGGUGAAACACUGAAAGACGGUUUCGGCUGUCGCUAUAGGAUGGGCCCGCGGCGCAUUAGCUAGUUGGUGAGGUAACGGCUCACCAAGGCGACGAUGCGUAGCCGACCUGAGAGGGUGAUCGGCCACACUGGGACUGAGACACGGCCCAGACUCCUACGGGAGGCAGCAGUAGGGAAUCUUCCACAAUGGGCGAAAGCCUGAUGGAGCAACGCCGCGUGAGUGAAGAAGGAUUUCGGUUCGUAAAACUCUGUUGUAAGGGAAGAACAAGUACAGUAGUAACUGGCUGUACCUUGACGGUACCUUAUUAGAAAGCCACGGCUAACUACGUGCCAGCAGCCGCCGUAA